This 537-nucleotide long non-coding RNA is filed under the name Olea europaea subsp. europaea. Lineage: Eukaryota; Viridiplantae; Streptophyta; Magnoliopsida; Lamiales; Oleaceae. The record is from RNAcentral.
GUACAAUAUUUUUUCACGAAAAGCAGACAUGAGAUAUGAAAUCCAUCCUUUGACUAAGAUUUCAAAUAGCGGUUGCGAAUUCAAGUUGUAUCAUUGAAGAUGUAAAAAAUUCCAAGUGCAAGAACAGGUAACUAUAGAUUGAAUAUUCAAUGAUACAGAAAGUAACAUCACAAGUUGGAGCAGUGCAGAAUUAAUGACGAUGGAGUACCAACCUGCUGAGUAUUGAUGUCAGUGCCAAAAAGCCAACACCCAAAACCCGGAUGUGAAUGAUACUAACCAACCACCAUCUCAGGUCUGCAACCAAUGGUAAACAAAAUUUGCUGAAUUAAGUAAUAUCAGAGAAGAAAGGGCAUGGCAUAGUAACAGUAAUAACAAAAACGAGUAUCAGUAUGAAGAUAUUCUUCUAGAAAUUCAGUAAAUUGAAAGAAGGGUAGAUAAUAUUGCAAUUCCUGGACCCCGUACCAAACUUUAAUCAUCAAUUUUAAAACUAAAUCAAACGAAACAAAUAGAACCACCUCAAACCCAUUAAAAGCAUAG